GCCAGGCACAGUGACACACGCCUGUAGUCCCAGCUACUCUGGAGGCCGAGGUCCAUGAUCGCUUGAGCCCGGGAGCUCUGGGCUGUAGUGUACUAUACCCACUGGGUGUCCAAGCUAAAUCCAGCACCAAUACGGUGACCUCCUGGGAGCGGGGGAACCACCAGGUUGCCUAAGGAGGGGUGAACCAGGCCAGGUCGGAAGUGGAGCAUGUCGAAACUCCCGUGUUGAUCAGUAGUGGGAUUGCUCCCGUAAACAGCCACUGCACUCCAGCCUGGGUAACACAGCGAGACCCAUCUCUU
This is an unclassified non-coding RNA of Cercocebus atys (sooty mangabey), 299 nucleotides long. It matches the Rfam family "Metazoan signal recognition particle RNA". From Rfam's summary of the family: The signal recognition particle (SRP) is a universally conserved ribonucleoprotein. It is involved in the co-translational targeting of proteins to membranes. Lineage: Eukaryota; Metazoa; Chordata; Mammalia; Primates; Cercopithecidae. The record is from Ensembl.